This is a long non-coding RNA of Oncorhynchus keta (chum salmon), 289 nucleotides long. RefSeq lists it as uncharacterized. The record is from RefSeq and is a predicted model, not a curated record. Lineage: Eukaryota; Metazoa; Chordata; Actinopteri; Salmoniformes; Salmonidae. The transcript has 3 exons.
GCCUACAGAGACACACAGGGGUUAGAGGUCAGGGGGGGUGUCUCUUCAGGCAACAGAGAGGAUAGCAGCCUUCUGGUAGACAUAGAUGGCCUACAGAGACACACAGGGGUUAGAGGUCAGGGGGGGUGUCUCUUCAGGCAACAGAGAGGAUAGCAGCCUUCUGGUAGACAUAGAUGGCCUAUAGAGACACACAGGGGUUAGAGGUCAGGGGGGGUGUCUCUUCAGGCAACAUAGAGAGGAUAGCAGCCUUCUGGUAGACAUAGAUGGCCUAUAGAGACACACAGGGGUU